GUGUGACUGUGUGUUGAUGGUGUUCAGAACCAAGGACAGGUAUGAGUGACUGAUUGUUGAUGGUGUUCAGCAACAAGUACAGAUAUGUGUGACU
RNAcentral lists this microRNA precursor (94 nucleotides) under Branchiostoma floridae (Florida lancelet). RNAcentral describes it as "mir-2060 microRNA precursor family". It matches the Rfam family "mir-2060 microRNA precursor family". The record is from Rfam by way of RNAcentral. Lineage: Eukaryota; Metazoa; Chordata; Leptocardii; Amphioxiformes; Branchiostomatidae.